Molecule: ribosomal RNA, 249 nt
Filed under: uncultured bacterium
Lineage: Bacteria
Description: partial 16S ribosomal RNA
Rfam family: Bacterial small subunit ribosomal RNA
Source: RNAcentral
GAUCAUGGCUCAGGAUGAACGCUAGCGACAGGCCUAACACAUGCAAGUCGAGGGGCAGCGGAGAGGUAGCAAUACCUUUGCCGGCGACCGGCGCACGGGUGAGUAACACGUAUGCAAUCCACCCUGUAACAGGGGGAGUAACCCGGAGAAAUCCGGACUAAUACCCCACUAAUAUGGGCUCUCCGCAUGGAGGGGUCCCAUUAAAGAAGGGGCAAUUUUGGUUUACUAGACGAGCAUGCGCUCCAUUAG